Small nuclear RNA from Perognathus longimembris pacificus (Pacific pocket mouse), 106 nucleotides. Lineage: Eukaryota; Metazoa; Chordata; Mammalia; Rodentia; Heteromyidae. The record is from RefSeq and is a predicted model, not a curated record.
GUGUUUGUCUUGGCAGCACGUACACUAAAAUUGGAAUGAUACAGAGAAUAUUAGCAUGGCCCUUGCACAAGGAUGGCAUUCCAUUAUAUAUAUAAAAAAAGUUAUC